This 463-nucleotide ribosomal RNA is filed under the name uncultured bacterium. RNAcentral describes it as "bacterial SSU rRNA". It matches the Rfam family "Bacterial small subunit ribosomal RNA", at positions 328 to 803 of the family's 1533-position model. The record is from RNAcentral.
CUACGGAACUCCUACGGGAGGCAGCAGUGGGGAAUAUUGGACAAUGGGGGCAACCCUGAUGCAGCGACGCCGCGUGAGGGAUGACGGCCUUCGGGUUGUAAACCUCUGUUAGCAGGGAAGAAGAGAGAUUGACGGUACCUGCAGAGAAAGCGCCGGCUAACUACGUGCCAGCAGCCGCGGUAAUACGUAGGGCGCGAGCGUUGUCCGGAAUUAUUGGGCGUAAAGAGCUUGUAGGCGGUUUGUCGCGUCUGCUGUGAAAGGCCGGAGCUUAACUCCGUGUAUUGCAGUGGGUACGGGCAGACUAGAGUGCAGUAGGGGAGACUGGAAUUCCUGUGUAGCGGUGGAAUGCGCAGAUAUCAGGAGGAACACCGAUGGCGAAGGCAGGUCUCUGGGCUGUAACUGACGCUGAGAAGCGAAAGCAUGGGGAGCGAACAGGAUUAGAUACCCCAGUAGUCCUCUUCGA